RNAcentral lists this ribosomal RNA (674 nucleotides) under uncultured Actinomycetes bacterium. RNAcentral describes it as "bacterial SSU rRNA". It matches the Rfam family "Bacterial small subunit ribosomal RNA", at positions 8 to 689 of the family's 1533-position model. The record is from RNAcentral. Lineage: Bacteria; Bacillati; Actinomycetota; Actinomycetes.
AGAGUUUGAUCCUGGCUCAGGACGAACGCUGGCGGCGCGCCUAAUCCAUGCAAGUCGAGCGACGCAUGCCUUAGCCCGUAAGGGCGGGUGUGACGGAGCGGCGAACGGGUGCGUAACACGUGACCAAUCUGCCCCGAAGACCGGGAUAGCCCGGGGAAACCCGGAUUAAUACCGGAUGAUCUCACCAUCACGCAUGUGGAGGUGAGCAAAGGUUCAGGCGCUUCGGGAUGAGGUCGCGGCCCAUCAGCUUGUUGGUGAGGUAACGGCUCACCAAGGCAAUGACGGGUAGCUGGUCUGAGAGGACGAUCAGCCACACUGGAACUGAGAUACGGUCCAGACUCCUACGGGAGGCAGCAGGAGGGAAUCUUGCGCAAUGGGCGAAAGCCUGACGCAGCGACGCCGCGUGGGGGAUGAAUGCCUUAGGGUUGUAAACCCCUUUCACGAGGGAAGAAACUGACGGUACCUCGAGAAGAAGCCCCGGCCAACUACGUGCCAGCAGCCGCGGUAAUACGUAGGGGGCGAGCGUUGUCCGGAUUUAUUGGGCGUAAAGGGCUCGUAGGCGGCUUGGCAAGUCGGCCGUGAAAACCCAGGGCUCAACUCUGGGACGCCGGUCGAUACUGCCAUGGCUAGGGUCCGGUAGAGGGGAAUGGAAUUCCCGGUGUAGCGGUGAAUGC